UUGAACGCUGGCGGCAUGCCUAACACAUGCAAGUCGAACGGUAACGCGAGGAGCUUGCUCCUUGGCGACGAGUGGCGGACGGGUGAGUAAUGCUUGGGAAUCUACCCAGUAGUGGGGGACAACAUUCGGAAACGGAUGCUAAUACCGCAUACGCACUACGGUGGAAAGUGGGGGAUCUUCGGACCUCACGCUAUUGGAUGAGCCUAAGUCGGAUUAGCUUGUUGGUGAGGUAAUGGCUCACCAAGGCGACGAUCCGUAGCUGGUCUGAGAGGACGAUCAGCCACACUGGGACUGAGACACGGCCCAGACUCCUACGGGAGGCAGCAGUGGGGAAUAUUGGACAAUGGGCGCAAGCCUGAUCCAGCAAUGCCGCGUGUGUGAAGAAGGCCUGCGGGUUGUAAAGCACUUUCAGUAGAGAAGAAAAGCCUAGGGUUAAUACCCCUGAGUCUUGACGUAACCUACAGAAGAAGCACCGGCUAACUCCGUG
This 487-nucleotide ribosomal RNA is filed under the name uncultured bacterium. RNAcentral describes it as "bacterial SSU rRNA". It matches the Rfam family "Bacterial small subunit ribosomal RNA", at positions 30 to 507 of the family's 1533-position model. The record is from RNAcentral.